AUGAGCGACCCCAAGUACGCCUACCCCUACCCCGCGCAAGGUUACUACCAGGGGGGGCCAUACCAGGGGCAGGGCGGCCCGUACCAGGGGCCGCCGGUGAUGGCGCCGCCGCAGUACGCCGCGCCGCCGCCGCGCGCCCAGCCCAGCUUCCUCGAAGGCUGUUUGGCUGCGCUUUGCUGCUGCUGCCUGAUCGACGAGUGCUGCUGCGACCCCUCCAUCAUCUUCGUCGGCUAG
RNAcentral lists this ribosomal RNA (234 nucleotides) under Triticum aestivum (bread wheat). RNAcentral describes it as "partial small subunit ribosomal RNA". Lineage: Eukaryota; Viridiplantae; Streptophyta; Magnoliopsida; Poales; Poaceae. The record is from RNAcentral.